This 246-nucleotide long non-coding RNA is filed under the name Carica papaya (papaya). Its description in RNAcentral is "long non-coding RNA (CPAP_LNC007185)". Lineage: Eukaryota; Viridiplantae; Streptophyta; Magnoliopsida; Brassicales; Caricaceae. The record is from RNAcentral.
GGAUUGUUGUUUAAGGAAACAGAGAUGAUGGAGAGUUAAUUGGAAGAAGCCAUUAUUUUUCUUUGUUUUAUGAUGGCUCUGAUACCAUGUUAUGAACCCAAAAAUAAAGUAAAAAUUGUGUUAUAUUCUCAGUAAAGAUAUUGUUGUUUAAAUAGUACAUUGUUGGAUAAUAUUAAAGUUAGAAAGUAAAAUGAGAUAUGUACAGAAUAGACAAGAUAAAUAUGCUAGAGUUAUUGAGAUAAAGAU